UGGAGGGAUUAUGCAACCUGGUGGGUGGGGGAAGACAGAGGAGUGAAAACGAUAUUGCGAGCAAAAAGGAGAGAGCAUUGAUUCAGAUUGAAAACUAUAUAAUAAGAGAGGAUCAUGGAGAUGAUAAUCACAUAGCUUGGUUUUCUUGUCCACAUGACAUGCUCCUUCCUUGCCGCUCCCAGCAAUCACCGCACACUCUCCCGAGUCACCACCCCUCACCACUUUGCAAACCCUUGUUUUUGUAUAUUCUCGCUUGCCCUCCUU
Molecule: long non-coding RNA, 264 nt
Filed under: Arachis ipaensis
Lineage: Eukaryota; Viridiplantae; Streptophyta; Magnoliopsida; Fabales; Fabaceae
Description: long non-coding RNA (AIPA_LNC001733)
Source: RNAcentral